Molecule: ribosomal RNA, 508 nt
Filed under: uncultured bacterium
Lineage: Bacteria
Description: bacterial SSU rRNA
Rfam family: Bacterial small subunit ribosomal RNA
Source: RNAcentral
GACGAACGCUGGCGGCGUGGAUUAGGCAUGCAAGUCGGACGGUAGGGCUUUAUCGUAAGAUAGAGUUUGAGAGUGGCGAACGGGUGAGUAACACGUAGGAAUCUACCCUUAAGACGGGGACAACCCAGGGAAACUUGGGCUAAUACCGGAUGAGAGUGCGAGAGAUUGCAUUUAAAAGGAUGGCGAAAGUUGUCGCUUAGGGAUGAGCCUGCGGUCUAUUAGUUAGUUGGUGAGGUAAGAGCUUCACCAAGGCGAUGAUAGAUAGGCGGCCUUAACGGGUGGUCGCCCACACUGGGAUUGAGAUACGGCCCAGACUCCUACGGGAGGCAGCAGUCGAGAAUAGUCUACAAUGGCCGGAAGGCUGAUAGUGCGACGCCGCGUGAGCGAAGAAGGCCUUCGGGUGUAAAGCUCUGUUGUAAGGGACGAAUGUCGCGAUCAAUAAUACGGAUUGCGAAUGACGGUACCUUACCAGCAAGCCCCGGUAACUACGUGCCAGCAGCCGGGUAAA